Long non-coding RNA from Megalobrama amblycephala (Wuchang bream), 923 nucleotides. RefSeq lists it as uncharacterized. The transcript is spliced from 2 exons. The record is from RefSeq and is a predicted model, not a curated record. NCBI's taxonomy places the organism in Eukaryota, Metazoa, Chordata, Actinopteri, Cypriniformes, Xenocyprididae.
CGCCUUUCGAUCAAGUUGAGACGAGCUACGCGCAAUCCCCGUUGCGCGUCCGGCGCGUGACCGAUCUUCAGGUCUCGUGCGUCGCUUCCUCCAUACUGAUGUCUGGCCUCAUUUUCGGUAUUGCGAGGCUUCAGACGGGAUGUUCUCAGAGAGAAGUUGCCACUGAGCUUAGUGUCACAGAGUGCCAUCAGCAGGUUGCAACAGAGAAACAGAGAGACUGGAAGAGUCACAGAAAGGCGUAGAAGGGGGCGUCAUUUGGCCAAAUCCCAUGCUGCUUCAUUGCGAACAGUGCUGUGAUGAAAGUCGACUCACAUUGAGCAGAAAUGUUGUCCAGAAAUGAUCAUGUCAAGGAGAACGCUAUGCAUCAGCCACUGUUGUCACCAGACGAGCCUUUGGAGGUGGUGGUGUUACAGUCUGGGCAGGUGUGUCUAGUCAAAGCAGAACUGCACUACACCUUGUGAAUGGUACUGUGACAACCCAAUACUACCUGAAUAACAUCAUUAAUCCUGUCAUUGUACCUCUGCAUGAGCAACACCGGCCUGAUUUCAUCUUCAUGGACGACAAUGCCCCAGCUCAACGAGGUCGCAUCAUCAGGGAACGGCUGCUGGAGACUGAGGUACCUCAAAUGGAGUGGCCCGCACUUUCUCCAGACCUGAAUCCCAUAGAAAGCCUAUCGUCGUGUAGAGGGUCGUAACCCUGCACCCCAGAACCUCACUGACCUGAGGGCAGCCCUUCAAGAAGACUGGAAUGCCAUCCCUCAGCAGACAAUAAUUUGACUUGUGAACAGCAUGAGACGUCAUUGUCAAGCUGUAAUUGAUGCUCAAGGGCACAUUACAAGUUAUUGAGACACUGACAAUUUUUGUUGUGGUAUACCCAUCACUGUUGUUAGCUUUUGUUUCAAUAAAUUGUUUGAGAUGAAGAAA